CCUACGGGUGGCAGCAGUGAGGAAUAUUGGUCAAUGGACGAGAGUCUGAACCAGCCAAGUAGCGUGAAGGAUGACUGCCCUAUGGGUUGUAAACUUCUUUUAUAUGGGAAUAAAAUGUUCCACGUGUGGGAUUUUGUAUGUACCAUAUGAAUAAGGAUCGGCUAACUCCGUGCCAGCAGCCGCGGUAAUACGGAGGAUCCGAGCGUUAUCCGGAUUUAUUGGGUUUAAAGGGAGCGUAGGUGGAUUGUUAAGUCAGUUGUGAAAGUUUGCGGCUCAACCGUAAAAUUGCAGUUGAAACUGGCAGUCUUGAGUACAGUAGAGGUGGGCGGAAUUCGUGGUGUCGCGGUGAAAUGCUUAGAUAUCACGAAGAACUCCGAUUGCGAAGGCAGUUCACUGGACUGCAACUGACACUGAGGCUCGAAAGUGUGGGUAUCAAACAGGAUUAGAUACCCUUGUAGUC
Molecule: ribosomal RNA, 460 nt
Filed under: uncultured bacterium
Lineage: Bacteria
Description: partial 16S ribosomal RNA
Rfam family: Bacterial small subunit ribosomal RNA
Source: RNAcentral